GACGUACGCUGGCGGCGUGCUUAACACAUGCAAGUCGAACGGAAAGGCCCUGCUUUUGUGGGGUGCUCGAGUGGCGAACGGGUGAGUAACACGUGAGUAACCUGCCCUUGACUUUGGGAUAACUUCAGGAAACUGGGGCUAAUACCGGAUAGGAGCUCCUGCUGCAUGGUGGGGGUUGGAAAGUUUCGGCGGUUGGGGAUGGACUCGCGGCUUAUCAGCUUGUUGGUGGGGUAGUGGCUUACCAAGGCUUUGACGGGUAGCCGGCCUGAGAGGGUGACCGGCCACAUUGGGACUGGGAUACGGCCCAGACUCCUACGGGAGGCAGCAGUGGGGAAUAUUGCACAAUGGGCGGAAGCCUGAUGCAGCAACGCCGCGUGCGGGAUGACGGCCUUCGGGUUGUAAACCGCUUUCGCCUGUGACGAAGCGUGAGUGACGGUAAUGGGUAAAGAAGCACCGGCUAACUACGUG
This 468-nucleotide ribosomal RNA is filed under the name uncultured bacterium. Its description in RNAcentral is "partial 16S ribosomal RNA". It matches the Rfam family "Bacterial small subunit ribosomal RNA", at positions 28 to 507 of the family's 1533-position model. The record is from RNAcentral.